AGGGCGCACGGAGGAUGCCUUGGCACUAGGAGUCGAAGAAGGACGCGACAAACGGCGAAACGCCUCGGGGAGCUGUAAGUGAGCUUUGAUCCGGGGAUAUCCGAAUGGGGAAACCCGCUAGUGGUUAUACGCUAGCACCAUAUGGUGAAUACAUAGCCAUAUAGGAGACAGACCCAGGGAACUGAAACAUCUAAGUACCUGGAGGAAAAGAAAGAAAAAUCGAUUCCCGUAGUAGCGGCGAGCGAAGUGGGAAGAGCCCAAACCGGCACUAGCCGGGGUUGUAGGACCUUCAUAAUUGACAAAUCAUGAUAGCCGAGUGGUCUGGGAAGGCCAACCGGAGAGGGUGAGAGUCCCGUAGGUGAAAUUGUGAAAUGCAUGGAAGGAAUCCUGAGUACGGCGGGACACGUGGAAUCCCGUCGGAAUCAACGAGGACCAUCUCGUAAGGCUAAAUACUACCUAGUGACCGAUAGUGAACCAGUACCGUGAGGGAAAGGUGAAAAGAACCCCGGAAGGGGAGUGAAAGAGAACCUGAAACCGUGUGCCUACAAAUAGUCAGAGCCCGUUAAUGGGUGAUGGCGUGCCUUUUGUAGAAUGAACCGGCGAGUUACGAUAUCGUGCGAGGUUAAGCAGAAGAUGCGGAGCCGUAGCGAAAGCGAGUCUGAAUAGGGCGAAGAGUACGAUGUUGUAGACCCGAAACCGUGUGAGCUAGCCAUGAGCAGGCUGAAGGUCAGGUAACACUGACUGGAGGGCCGAACCAGGGCACGUUGAAAAGUGCUUGGAUGACUUGUGGCUAGGGGUGAAAUUCCAAUCGAACCCGGAUAUAGCUGGUUCUCUCCGAAAUAGCUUUAGGGCUAGCCUCGACUGAACAUUACCGGAGGUAGAGCACUGAAUGGGCUAGGGGCCGAGAGGUUACUGAACCCUAUCAAACUUCAAAUGCCGGAAAAUGAUAGUCGGGAGUCAGACUGCGUGAGAUAAGUUUCGUAGUCGAAAGGGAAACAGCCCAGACCCACAGCUAAGGUCCCAAAGUACGGUUAAGUGGAAAAGGAUGUGGGGUUGCACAGACAACCAGGAUGUUGGCUUAGAAGCAGCCACUCAUUAAAAGAGUGCGUAAUAGCUCACUGGUCGAGUGACUUUGCGCGGAAAAUUUAACGGGGCUAAAAUACACACCGAAGCUUGGGCUUGACGCUUUUGCGUCAGGGGUAGGGGAGCGUCGUGUAAGGGGCGAAGUCGUAUCGUAAGGGACGGUGGACUUUACACGAGUGAGAAUGCCGGAAUGAGUAGCGAGAAUUAUGUGAGAAUCAUAAUGGUCGAAAGCCUAAGGUUUUUGGAGGAAGGUUCGUCCGCUCCAAGUAAGCCGGGAGCUAAGGUCAGGCGGAAACGCGUAGCCGAUGCACAUACGGUUGAAAUUCCGUAGCCUCAGAAAGAUUUAAGCGAAGGGACACUUUGAAAGGACUGUUGCCGGGUGUUGGUUACCCCGGUCGUAAGGGAACGAAAUUAAGUAGUGAAGGCAGUCUGGACGGAGGCGAGAAAAGCUUCGUGUAUAUCUUAUGAGCCCGUACCGCAAACCGACACAGGUAGGUGGGAUGAGAAUUCUAAGACCAACGGGAGAAGGGUAGUUAAGGAACUCGGCAAAUUGACCCCGUAACUUCGGAAUAAGGGGAGCCUGCGAAAGCAGGCCGCAGAGAAUUGGCCCAGGCGACUGUUUAUCAAAAACACAGCUCUAUGCUAAAUCGAAAGAUGACGUAUAUGGGGUGACACCUGCCCGGUGCUGGAAGGUUAAGAGGAGAUGUGAGAGCAUCGAAUUGAAGCCCCAGUAAACGGCGGCCGUAACUAUAACGGUCCUAAGGUAGCGAAAUUCCUUGUCAGGUAAGUUCUGACCCGCACGAAUGGUGUAACGAUUUGGGCACUGUCUCAACAACCCGCCCGGCGAAAUUGUAGUACCGGUGAAGAUGCCGGUUACCCGCGACUAGACGGAAAGACCCCAUGGAGCUUUACUGUAGCUUAAUAUUGGAUUUCGGCAGUUCAUGUACAGGAUAGGUGGGAGACUAUGAAACACGGGCGUCAGCUUGUGCGAUGUUCACAAGCUACCCGGCUAUCCAGAAGUUCAUCAUCAACCCGUUCUAUGAACAGCAGGGUCUCAAGAACCCCGAGCUGCCCGACUACGACGAUGACGACGAGGAAGUGCUCUUCGAGGACCGCGGCGGCGAGGAGGCUCCCAUGAAGAUAAAGAAGCAGGAUCGCGGCGGAAAGGUCAUCAAGUAAUAUGAGUAACAAGAAGAAAAAAUCGAACGGCAGGCAGGACGGCGGCCUCAUGUUCUUCGUGCCCGACCAGGGCGAGGGCGCGGCUAAGGUCAUCGUUAUAUUGCUGAAGGUCCUCAUGCUCAUCGGCACGACGAUACUCUGUCUCUGCUUCGGAAUUCUCGGUCCUAUCUGCAUCUGGAUAGGCGAGUACGACCCGGCUGUGACCGGGAAUCCCGCAAUUGUUACCUGGCUAGUGACGUCGGUAGUUUACAUUAUCGGAACCUUCGUUAUAAUGCUGGGACACUCCCGCAUUGCCUCGAUAAUCGACUGCGCGGCUUCCGUUGGCUCUCUCGUGACCUACUACCUGUUCGU
This 2613-nucleotide ribosomal RNA is filed under the name human gut metagenome. Its description in RNAcentral is "bacterial LSU rRNA". It matches the Rfam family "Bacterial large subunit ribosomal RNA", at positions 14 to 2344 of the family's 2925-position model. The record is from RNAcentral.